This 1403-nucleotide long non-coding RNA is filed under the name Ananas comosus (pineapple). RNAcentral describes it as "long non-coding RNA (ACOM_LNC002736)". The stretch from base 469 to 560 matches the Rfam family "Small nucleolar RNA Z159/U59". The record is from RNAcentral. Lineage: Eukaryota; Viridiplantae; Streptophyta; Magnoliopsida; Poales; Bromeliaceae.
CAGGGUAUAUUUUAGUUUAUAUCGGCAAAAAAAAGAUCUAAGGAUCAGUUCGGAUUAUUGGUUUUUGGUUUUGAUUGCUUAGCAUUGUAUAGCGAGAGGGAUUGUUAUGUUUUUUAGAAAUAUAGGUAGAGUGAUUUGACUUUGUGCUUAAUAGGAAUAGCUUUAUUGCUCGUCAUAUGAGGGUAUUUAACUCUCACGUUUGCAUCUGUUAUGUCUUCUUCUUCUUCUUCUUCUUCUUCUUCUUAUUGUUGUGCAUUUAAUGGGUUGUAUUCGAGGAUGAGCAAAUAUUUUCGAUCUUCUGAGGGUGGUGAACUUUAUUCCACUCAUGCGGAAUCAAUCUUGGAGACCUGAACUGAGAAUACCCAUCUCAACCCAAAAAAACCAAAAAAAGAAAAUCCUUUUUUUUUCCUUUUAUUUUGGGCCCCGAAUUUUUUUGGGUAUUUUUGUUUUUUUUUUCGCUGUAGUUUGGUUUCCGAUGAUGAUCAGAGCAAAAACUUUCGUUCUUCCGAGGCAUUUGCUAUGCAAUGCGGAGGAUUCAUGGAGACCUGAACUGAGGAGACCCGAUUUAACGCUUUGCUUUUGGAAUUUGUUUUUUUUCCUUUAUCUUUUCUAAAAAGGUAUAGUUUUUAUUUUAAUGCUAAUUAGCCGAUUUGAAUCCCAAUGAAGAUCACUCAUAUGGAUUAAAGUAGUGGGCUGAAAUCAUGUGAUGAAUGGUAUGUUCUGAUCCUGAGGGAUAAUUUUAUCGCUACAUAAAAGAAUGAUUUUGAUCCUUUUUUCUAUGCUGAAAUAUACUUUAGUUAAGAGUCGUUUCAUUCUCUUCCCUGAUGGAGGGAUUUACCAUUACUCGUUGAUUUCUCCCUAGGUUUCUAGUAGCUUUUUUAUACUAUAAUUAAGUGUUGUAGUUGCUUCAUUUCUAGUUUGAACUGAACUUUUAUUCUUAGUUUUUCUUCAUAUGAAGUCUAUAAGCUUUUAUUCUUCUUCAGUUCACAAGGCUCCCGAUGAUUGAAUCAAACAUCAUCAGUUUCAGCCUUGUCUGAAUACACUAUUUGUUGAAAUCUAAAGCUUUUCUGAGGGAGCCGCCCCUACUGACUUUUUUAAAUGGAAGAACUUCAAAUAUUUCCCCUUGCGGGUCAGCGCUUUCUCGCUUUACUACCUUGUGUUUUGAAAUGUAUUAUUUUAGCAUCCUGUGAAUUUAUUUUUCUCUUUCCAUCAGAAUUUUCAUUUACUCUCCAUUAAAAUAUAUAUAAAAAAAAUUUCACAUAUCUUCCUGUGGAUUAUCAAAUAUUCACUUUAGUAUUCUGUGUUCAUAUGCUGAUCUUCAUUUUGAGCAGAUAAUUUUACUACUUGCAUUACUGGAUCUGUACUAGUUGCUUUGCCUGAUCGAUAUUGAUUGUUCUCAUUUU